GAUAACCCCGGGAAACUGGGUAUAAUACCCGAUAGGUCUCGAUUGCUGGAAUGCAUCGAGAUUUAAAGCUCCGGCGCCUAAGGAUGGGUCUGCGGCCUAUCAGGUAGUAGUGGGUGUAGCGUACCUACUAGCCUACGACGGGUACGGGUUGUGAGAGCAAGAGCCCGGAGAUGGAUUCUGAGACACGAAUCCAGGCCCUACGGGGUGCAGCAGGCGCGAAAACUUUACAAUGCUGGCAACAGCGAUAAGGGAACCUCGAGUGCCAGGUUACAAAUCUGGCUGUCGAGAUGCCUAAAAAGCAUUUCAUAGCAAGGGCCGGGCAAGACCGGUGCCAGCCGCCGCGGUAACACCGGCGGCUCGAGUGGUAACCGUUAUUAUUGGGUCUAAAGGGUCUGUAGCCGGCCGGAUAAGUCUCUUGAGAAAUCUGGCUGCUUAACUGUCAGGCUUUCAGGAGAUACUGUCUGGCUCGAGGCCGGGAGAGGUGAGAGGUACUUCAGGGGUAGGGGUGAAAUCUUGUAAUCCUUGAAGGACCACCAGUGGCGAAGGCGUCUCACCAGAACGGACCUGACGGCAAGGGACGAAAGCUAGGGGCACGAACCGGAUUAGAUACCCGGGUAGUCCUAGCCGUAAACGAUACUCGCUAGGUGUCGGCCACGGUGCGACCGUUGUCGGUGCCGUAGGGAAGCCGUGAAGCGAGCCACCUGGGAAGUACGGCCGCAAGGCUGAAACUUAAAGGAAUUUGGCGGGUGAGCACCACAACGGGUGGAGCUUGCGGUUUAAUUUGGAUUCAACGCCGGAAAAUCUUACCGGGACCGACAGCAUAUUGACGGCCAAGGCUUGAAGACUUUGCCGGAUUUAGCUUGAAAGGUGGUGCAU
RNAcentral lists this ribosomal RNA (876 nucleotides) under uncultured archaeon. RNAcentral describes it as "bacterial SSU rRNA". It matches the Rfam family "Archaeal small subunit ribosomal RNA", at positions 125 to 995 of the family's 1478-position model. The record is from RNAcentral.